RNAcentral lists this ribosomal RNA (496 nucleotides) under uncultured bacterium. Its description in RNAcentral is "partial 16S ribosomal RNA". It matches the Rfam family "Bacterial small subunit ribosomal RNA", at positions 29 to 507 of the family's 1533-position model. The record is from RNAcentral.
AUGCACGCUGGCGGCGUGCCUAAUACAUGCAAGUCGAGCGAACAGACGAGGAGCUUGCUCCUCUGACGUUAGCGGCGGACGGGUGAGUAACACGUGGAUAACCUACCUAUAAGACUGGGAUAACUUCGGGAAACCGGAGCUAAUACCGGAUAAUAUAUUGAACCGCAUGGUUCAAUAGUGAAAGACGGUUUUGCUGUCACUUAUAGAUGGAUCCGCGCCGCAUUAGCUAGUUGGUAAGGUAACGGCUUACCAAGGCAACGAUGCGUAGCCGACCUGAGAGGGUGAUCGGCCCCACUGGAACUGAGACACGGUCCAGACUCCUACGGGAGGCAGCAGUAGGGAAUCUUCCGCAAUGGGCGAAAGCUUGACGGAGCAACGCCGCGUGAGUGAUGAAGGUCUUCGGAUCGUAAAACUCUGUUAUUAGGGAAGAACAAAUGUGUAAGUAACUAUGCACGUCUUGACGGUACCUAAUCAGAAAGCCACGGCUAACUACGUG